CAAGCCCAAAGGCCCUACAUCUUC
RNAcentral lists this non-coding RNA (24 nucleotides) under Arabidopsis thaliana (thale cress). Lineage: Eukaryota; Viridiplantae; Streptophyta; Magnoliopsida; Brassicales; Brassicaceae. The record is from RNAcentral.